RNAcentral lists this long non-coding RNA (1362 nucleotides) under Mus musculus (house mouse). Its description in RNAcentral is "long non-coding RNA chr18:64278244-64279606". The record is from RNAcentral. Lineage: Eukaryota; Metazoa; Chordata; Mammalia; Rodentia; Muridae.
AUGGUUGGUAGUUUUGUGAAACUGGAGUAUUUGAACCCGUGCUAGAAAUGCUGUUGAACCGCAUUUCAUACACAGAAUAUCACAUGUAUAUAUGAACUAAGUUUUGCUACUUGAGCUCCAGUGGAUUUCAUGAUCAGCUGGAGAUGUAAUCACCAAGCGUCAGUAACUGGUACUGAAACCUCCCCAGACCUAGGACAGUGGUUCCCAACCUUCCUAAUGCUGCGACCCUUUAAUACAGUUCCUCAGACUGUAGUGACCCCACCAACCAUAAAAUUACUUCGUUGCUACUUCAUAACUAUCAUUGUGCUACUGUUACAAGUUGUAAUGUAAAUAUCUGAUAUGCAGAAUAGCUGGCAUGUGAUUCCUGUGAAAGGGACAGUUGACCCCUCACAAUAAAGGUCACAGCCCACAGGUUGAGAACCCCUGACCUUGGACAAAUACAGCAAAGCAUCACAGGGAAAGAGCACCUUUUCAGAUGAGCUAGUUACUUAAUGGCACAGCAAGGCUUUUCGGGUCUAGUCCAUUUCUGUCUCAACUGUCAGUCAGCAACCGAAGUGUUGCGAUUCAGAAGUGAUGUCCCUGCCUAGCUAGAAUGAAAACCACAGGUUUCAUGCUGCGCUUGGAGAUCUGUGCAGUCCACUGGAGAAACGUGAGUUAGAAGUGAAGAGAGAAGAAGAUGGGAGAGUUCCUCCCACUUACCUUAGUUUUCACCUUUGACUUCAGUACCAGUUUAAAGAAUGGGAUAGGAUGAAGUAGGUCAGAGCCCUUUAUAGUGUAAUGAUGAAACUAAAAGGUUAACAUGUGAAGGAAUGGUGUGUGGUAGUUAUCAAAGGAAUGAUCAGGGUUACCAAACACGUCAGGUGAAAACCAGGCCUCUUGUGAUGGCAUUCCUUCCCCCCACCCUCACUGACACAUCCAUUUUGGGAAAUGCCAUUGUACAUGGACAGGCUUUACCCCCUCAGCCACACUGGACAUUUUGUGGUCUUCAGAAGAAGGAGCCUUUACCAAUCAGAGUCACAUCUGUCUCAUGAGAGGCAGCCUUACUUGUUCUUAGCAAGAAGCUGCUGGCGAGUACGAGCCACAGAGGCCCAGAAGAAGCCAGCACUGCUGGGCUGCGCACCAUGUAAAUAUCUCCUGCCUUCCUCGUGAACAAGAGUGAUCGCCUUGCACAGAGAUAACUGUGUGUGUGUGUAUGUGUGUGUGUGUGUUGUGACUUUAGUUUGUGGAGGAAAUGCAAAAGUUCCUUUGACAGCUUCCCAGAUGUACCUGCUGAGUAUGAACGUGCCUGCCUUGUUGUUGCCUUGUGUGCCAAACACAGUACUGGAUGCAUUGUUUUUAAAUAAACCGUUUUAUUGUGCAUUG